This 254-nucleotide ribosomal RNA is filed under the name uncultured bacterium. RNAcentral describes it as "partial 16S ribosomal RNA". It matches the Rfam family "Bacterial small subunit ribosomal RNA", at positions 524 to 776 of the family's 1533-position model. The record is from RNAcentral.
UACGUAGGGGGCGAGCGUUGUCCGGAUUUAUUGGGCGUAAAGAGCUCGUAGGCGGUUUGGUAAGUCGGGUGUGAAAUCUCCACGCUCAACGUGGAGGGGCCACUCGAUACUGCCAUGACUCGAGUCCGGUAGAGGAGUGUGGAAUUCAUGGUGUAGCAGUGAAAUGCGUAGAGAUCAUGAGGAAGACCAGUGGCGAAGGCGGGUCUCUGGACAGUUCCUGACACUGAGACACGAAGGCCAGGGGAGCAAACGGG